Molecule: ribosomal RNA, 486 nt
Filed under: Staphylococcus sp. BAS114i
Lineage: Bacteria; Bacillati; Bacillota; Bacilli; Caryophanales; Staphylococcaceae
Description: bacterial SSU rRNA
Rfam family: Bacterial small subunit ribosomal RNA
Source: RNAcentral
GGCUCAGGAUGAACGCUGGCGGCGUGCCUAAUACAUGCAAGUCGAGCGAACAGAUAAGGAGCUUGCUCCUUUGACGUUAGCGGCGGACGGGUGAGUAACACGUGGGUAACCUACCUAUAAGACUGGAAUAACUCCGGGAAACCGGGGCUAAUGCCGGAUAACAUUUAGAACCGCAUGGUUCUAAAGUGAAAGAUGGUUUUGCUAUCACUUAUAGAUGGACCCGCGCCGUAUUAGCUAGUUGGUAAGGUAAUGGCUUACCAAGGCAACGAUACGUAGCCGACCUGAGAGGGUGAUCGGCCACACUGGAACUGAGACACGGUCCAGACUCCUACGGGAGGCAGCAGUAGGGAAUCUUCCGCAAUGGGCGAAAGCCUGACGGAGCAACGCCGCGUGAGUGAUGAAGGGUUUCGGCUCGUAAAACUCUGUUAUUAGGGAAGAACAAACGUGUAAGUAACUGUGCACGUCUGACGGUACUAAUCAGAAGUC